This 769-nucleotide ribosomal RNA is filed under the name uncultured microorganism. RNAcentral describes it as "bacterial SSU rRNA". It matches the Rfam family "Bacterial small subunit ribosomal RNA", at positions 8 to 797 of the family's 1533-position model. The record is from RNAcentral.
AGAGUUUGAUCCUGGCUCAGGAUAAACGCUGGCGGCGUGCUUCAGGCAUGCAAGUCGAACGGGCGUCUACCUUCGGGUAGCCGCUAGUGGCGGACGGGUGAGUAACACGUAAGCAAUCUGCCCAGAAGUGGGGAAUAACUAGCCGAAAGGCUGGCUAAUACCGCAUGUGAUGGUUCUUCCCUGGAGGAAUCAUGAAAGGCUUCGGUCGCUUCUGGAGGAGCUUGCGGCAGAUUAGCUAGUUGGUGGGGUAACGGCCUACCAAGGCGACGAUCUGUAGCUGGUCUGAGAGGACGGUCAGCCACACGGGGACUGAGAUACGGCCCCGACUCCUACGGGAGGCAGCAGCUAGGAAUCUUGGGAAUGGGCGAAAGCCUGACCCAGCAACGCCGCGUGAGCGAUGAAGGCCUUCGGGUCGUAAAGCUCUUUUGUGGGGGACGAUGAUGACGGUACCCCACGAAUAAGCCACGGCUAACUACGUGCCAGCAGCCGCGGUAAUACGUAGGUGGCAAGCGUUGUCCGGAUUUACUGGGCGUAAAGGGCGUGCAGGCGGUCUGUUAAGUGCAGGGUGAAAGCUCCCGGCUCAACUGGGAGAGGUCCUUGCAUACUGGCGGACUCGAGGGAGGCAGAGGAAAGUGGAAUUCCCGGUGUAGUGGUGAUAUGCGUAGAUAUCGGGAGGAACACCUGUGGCGAAGGCGGCUUUCUGGGCCUUACCUGACGCUGAGACGCGAAAGCGUGGGGAGCGAACCGGAUUAGAUACCCCCGUAGUCCA